GCUUCUAUAGCUUAGUGGAGAGCCCCUUCGUAAGGGAAAAGUCCCGAGUUCCUCGGUGGGAGCACCA
This 67-nucleotide transfer RNA is filed under the name Chlamydomonas reinhardtii. Its description in RNAcentral is "partial tRNA-Thr". Lineage: Eukaryota; Viridiplantae; Chlorophyta; Chlorophyceae; Chlamydomonadales; Chlamydomonadaceae. The record is from RNAcentral.